RNAcentral lists this non-coding RNA (30 nucleotides) under Mus musculus (house mouse). Lineage: Eukaryota; Metazoa; Chordata; Mammalia; Rodentia; Muridae. The record is from RNAcentral.
UGUGGCUCAGAAAUGUCCUAAGGCCUGACA